ACCGCAGCCAGGGAUCCUUCGGGCUCCAGCGCUCUUGGCAGAGGCCGGAGGUUUUAUUACUAUUGGAGUCUCAGUGCAGAUUUUACUUGACAUCAAUUUUUAGGGAAGUGGGACCAGAUCCAUCCCCUGCCAGUAACAACAGCUCACGAGAACUCAGCAGUUGUGUCCAGCAGCAUCCUUAAUACCUCACCAGCCAUUUCGAUAAGUGACUUCUUUCUGGAAGUAAAUAGCCUUAAUAUUGGAAGUCUGACAACUAUCAUCAUACUUUAACACUCUCUAGAAUGAAAGAAUAAAAUCUCAUGCUUGUAAGUCAAAGAACAGGAAAACUGGAUUUGUAUUUUGCUGUUCCUUCAGUGACUAUAUGGAGCUGACAAAGUAAUUUGAUUUGUUUAAGAACAUCUAUCAACAGAGAUGAUGGAGUCACAGAUAAACUAUAACAACACCCUACAGAAUUUACAAUGCAAACUGAUGUGCAUGAAUCACAGAAGAUACGAAGUGCAGCAAAACAAUUGUUGAGUGAUGAAAAUGUAAUCGAUGUUUUGCUUUAAUUAAUUUAAAGCUUUUUAUGUCGUGUCAUUCAUGCUUUCCCUGGCAAAAAAAAAAUUCA
Molecule: long non-coding RNA, 607 nt
Organism: Lepidothrix coronata (blue-crowned manakin)
Lineage: Eukaryota; Metazoa; Chordata; Aves; Passeriformes; Pipridae
Exons: 5
Source: RefSeq, a predicted model, not a curated record